RNAcentral lists this long non-coding RNA (540 nucleotides) under Cricetulus griseus (Chinese hamster). Its description in RNAcentral is "lncRNA (ENSCGRG00015038172.1)". The record is from RNAcentral. Lineage: Eukaryota; Metazoa; Chordata; Mammalia; Rodentia; Cricetidae.
GGACACACCUGGGGCGUUUGAACUUUUCACAGAGGUCGUUGGAACAUUCUGUCGUUAUUCCAGGAGCUGUUAUUUUUUUCCAUGAGAGUUCCGGGAGCGGCCACCUGCAGGGGACGGGAGCACCCAAGGUGACGAGCCCAUGUUCUUAUAGACAGCUAGUAAUUUUUUACUCUUCAGAAGCAAUAUCUGGGAAAUAUUAACAGUGACACAGGUUUUUGUUAUGUGUAAGUGACUGGUGAAAGGUAAAUGAAUUGUAAGGGAUUCUCCUGUGUAGCAUGGGCUGAACAACAAACAAAAUGAAAAGAACUAGCACGGACACCUUCUUAAUGCAGCAAGGAUCCCAAAGUCCUUGAGGACUACAUCUCCGGGUACCAGAAGGCACAAAAGAAGAGAAGAACCCAUCAAUCCUCCCAGCUGAUACCUAUGAAUCACAACAAAGACCUGCAUGGCGUGAUAACACUAUGGGUGCAGUAGUGGCAUGGAUACCUUAGCAGGGAAUUAAAGGAUGAAGUAAACAAGGAAGAAGGAAGUGAUACAUAG